UACGUAGGGGGCAAGCGUUGUCCGGAAUUAUUGGGCGUAAAGAGCUUGUAGGCGGUUUGUCGCGUCUGCCGUGAAAUUUCGGGGCUCAACCCCGAACUUGCGGUGGGUACGGGCAGACUAGAGUGUGGUAGGGGAGACUGGAAUUCCUGGUGUAGCGGUGAAAUGCGCAGAUAUCAGGAGGAACACCGAUAGCGAAGGCAGGUCUCUGGGCCACUACUGACGCUGAGAAGCGAAGGCGUGGGGAGCGAACGGGG
Molecule: ribosomal RNA, 254 nt
Filed under: uncultured bacterium
Lineage: Bacteria
Description: partial 16S ribosomal RNA
Rfam family: Bacterial small subunit ribosomal RNA
Source: RNAcentral